CAAAAGCUUCAAAUUACGGGGGCAUUACCUUCUUUCCUGUGACAUAAAAUGCUCCAUCCUUGUGAGAAUACUACCUUAUCUUCCUCCUUUUGUUUUCUGCUCAUAGAAGAGAAAUGGAAAUGUAUGUGCAGGCCCAUGUAGAAGCAUUUGGAUUACAGCGACACAAUGCAGUCCCAGUACAACCAUAUAAAUUAGAUGCAACCAAGGCAUGAAAUGGGUGCUUCUUUGAGAACCAUAAUGUUCUCUUAACUCUCUUCAUGACAGUUGGCAUCCUCUCCUCCUACAACGCACUUGGACUCUUGUAUCCCAGCUACAGGUAU
RNAcentral lists this long non-coding RNA (320 nucleotides) under Pogona vitticeps (central bearded dragon). RNAcentral describes it as "lncRNA (ENSPVIG00000010671.1)". Lineage: Eukaryota; Metazoa; Chordata; Lepidosauria; Squamata; Agamidae. The record is from RNAcentral.